CUUUAGAAAUGUGCCACCAUCUCGCAUCAUAUGUGAUACUGUGGCAAGGCAUUUAUGAAGUAUAUUAUGAAUUUGACUUUAAUAUUAUAAUAAUUCCACAGAACAAUAAGACUUCUAAAAGAAAUCUGUGUCUGUGUUAACACCCAACUCCGAUUUGUCACUAAUAAGGAUUUUAAUAGUAUAAUAAUAACAAUAAUUUAGAUUAGAAGUGGUUAAAUUGUCAUUGUUCAAUCAUUUGCUUCUUUCUAGGAGCUCAGGCUUUCCGAACGCAACAC
Pelobates cultripes (western spadefoot toad) is the source of this 275-nucleotide non-coding RNA. The record is from the annotation of a GenBank genome assembly. Lineage: Eukaryota; Metazoa; Chordata; Amphibia; Anura; Pelobatidae.